This 148-nucleotide non-coding RNA is filed under the name Gorilla gorilla gorilla (western lowland gorilla). The record is from Rfam by way of RNAcentral. Lineage: Eukaryota; Metazoa; Chordata; Mammalia; Primates; Hominidae.
GCUGGGCAUGGUGGUGCAUGCCUGUAGUCCCAGCUACUCUGGGGGCUGAGGAGGGAGGAUUGCUUGAGCCUGAGAGUCUGAGGCUGCAGUGAGCCAUGAUCAUGCCACUGCACUCCAGCUUGGCCAACAGAGCAAGACCCUGUCUCAA